Molecule: ribosomal RNA, 462 nt
Filed under: bacterium FC2001
Lineage: Bacteria
Description: bacterial SSU rRNA
Rfam family: Bacterial small subunit ribosomal RNA
Source: RNAcentral
GAUGAACGCUGGCGGCGUGCCUAACACAUGCAAGUCGAACGGAGAUUUAACGCUGAUGAGGCUUCGGCGGAAUCUUGUUAAAUCUUAGUGGCGGACGGGUGAGUAACGCGUGGGCAACCUGCCUCGUACUGGGGGAUAACAGUUGGAAACGACUGUUAAUACCGCAUAAGCGCACGGUACCGCAUGGUACAGUGUGAAAAACUCCGGUGGUACGAGAUGGGCCCGCGUCAGAUUAGCCAGUUGGUGGGGUAACGGCCUACCAAAGCAACGAUCUGUAGCCGGACUGAGAGGUCGGACGGCCACAUUGGGACUGAGACACGGCCCAAACUCCUACGGGAGGCAGCAGUGGGGGAUAUUGCACAAUGGGCGAAAGCCUGAUGCAGCGACGCCGCGUGAGUGAAGAAGUAUUUCGGUAUGUAAAGCUCUAUCAGCAGGGAAGAAAGACUCGUAAGAGAGAUGACG